UCCCCGUUACCGGGGCAGUCUGAUUAGAAAAAUCCAACUAAUCAUAAGGGUUGCGCUCGUUGAUGGACUUAACCAAACAUCUCACGACACGAGCUGACGACGGCCAUGCAACACCUGUCACUAGGUUCCCGAAGGCACUCUCGGCUUUCACCAAAAUUCCUAGGAUGUCAAGCCUUGGUAAGGUUCUUCGCUUACCAUCGAAUUAAACAACACGCUCCACCGCUUGUGCGGGUCCCCGUCAAUUCCUUUGAGUUUUAGUCUUGCGACCGUACUCCCCAGGCGGAAUACUUAACGCGUUAGCUUCGCUACACACAGGGUCGAUACUGCAUACAGCUAGUAUUCAUAGUUUACGGCGUGGACUAC
Molecule: unclassified non-coding RNA, 363 nt
Filed under: uncultured bacterium
Lineage: Bacteria
Description: contains 16S-23S intergenic spacer region
Source: RNAcentral